RNAcentral lists this non-coding RNA (1345 nucleotides) under Pan troglodytes (chimpanzee). The record is from RNAcentral. Lineage: Eukaryota; Metazoa; Chordata; Mammalia; Primates; Hominidae.
UGAGUAGGGGGCCUGCAGUGUGCUGUGACGCCUGGGAAGGGGAUUCUAAGCCAUUUCCCGUCAGCCAUUUACUAAGUAGCCUGGGGAUCUUGUUAAAAUGCAGAUCCUGAUAGAUUCUGGCUGGGGUGCUGCCCAAGAUUCUACAUUUCUAAGAGUCCCUGGAUGACGGUGGCAUUCACAGACCACAGCUUCUAUGUGAGGGAGAGCAGUUGGGUUUCUGUCUGCCUGCCGCACCUGAUCAGUGGUUAGUGCCUGCAUGUGUGGCGGCCAGAAUUUUACCUGGGGAGACGCUCGGCUCCUAGCACCCUCUGUGGUAGGGGUUUUCCAGAGUGUGGGCAUUACCCCAACUGUCUCUGCAGACGGCUUCCUGCAUGUUUCCCACAAGCGCUCAGAUGGCUGAAUUGGCAAGUCUGUGGUGCUGCUCUUUGGGGCCACCUCGUUCUUUGCCUUUCCCUCCCCUUAGCGAUGUGUCCCAUCCGUUGCCUACAGUCAAGUCAGUCCACAUGUUUAGGCUAAGGUGGGCAUGACCGAGUGGCCUUCCCCCGGGAAGACCAGUGUCGUAAACUGGAAUUAAGUUGUGGAACAUAAGAGUCAAGGCUCGUGUCUGCUGUGAGCUGGAGUUGAGGGAAUGUUUGGGGAUCCCACCUGGUAUCAGUAAGGGAACCAUGGCGACGGCCAGCCUUGCCCACAUGAGGCAUCUGCUUUGUCAGGCCUUCUCAGUAGUGGAGAAGGGAGGAAGGAGAAUGCAGCUCUUUCAGUGCUGUCUAGCAGUGCCCAAGAGCCGUGAUUGGGCACCUCACUUAACGUCUAACUUCAAAUUCACUCUUGGGCAUUCCUGUCUUCCUCUCCAAUCUUGAAUGGAUGUUGGCUUCGAUAAUGUCAUCCUGAAGUUUCUUUGUCCACACAGCCCUGGCUGGUUGUUAAUAAGCUGUUAAUGCAGCCUUGCACUCAGGAAGCCCUGAUGUUUAAAGGAACUGUGUCUUUGUUCUUCCUCUCUUCCCUCUUUCUCUUAGUCCCACUUUCUCUCUUCUUUCUCUUCCUCUCCCUCCUCUUCCCCUCUCCCUCCUCCUCUUCCCCUUUCCCUCCUACUCUCCCCCUUUCUCUCUUCCUCCUCUAAGAAACCCAGUCUUAAUUCCACACAAUGCGUGCACAUGCAGUAGCUUCUCUGCUUGAGUGAGCUGGUGUGAUUAGGUUUUCUAAACAUGCACAUUGGCCUUGCUACUUGUCCUUUUAUUCCCUUCCCACAGACCGUAAACCAAGAAUUAUUUUUAUUUGUAUUAUUUUGAUUUUUUUAAAGUGAAAUACUAACUUUUCCUCUUUGAAAUAAAUUCCCAUUUGGAACAUC